Molecule: unclassified non-coding RNA, 344 nt
Filed under: Hevea brasiliensis (rubber tree)
Lineage: Eukaryota; Viridiplantae; Streptophyta; Magnoliopsida; Malpighiales; Euphorbiaceae
Source: RNAcentral
AGUUGAGUUGAGUUGAGUUUGUCAAAAUGAGAGAUGGAGGGAACAUAGAGGGAGAUAGUGAAAGGAGGAAAUAUGUUUGUUAUUUGAACAAGGAGAACAAUCCAACUUUUGCUUGAAUUCCUAGGUAAAUAAAACUGAACUCUUUACUUCCUUUGUUAUCUCUCUCAAAUCCUCCAUUACAUCAACUUGUGGUUGCCUUUUUAUUAGGUAGAAUUCAAUAUUUGGUGUCUAUUCCGUAGUGUUCUAGAAAAUCUGCUUUUUCUUGUUUGAGGUUAAACUUUUUAAAGGAGCUAGAGAAGGAAAUGACUCAAAGGUUACAACUUUAUUCUCAUUAAUUCUAUAAA